AGAGAAGUCUGACGAGGUCAGCUGUUUCCUCUCUAGAGAGAAUCUAAGGUUCGAUUUUAGAAAGAGCUCGCUGCGGAGGGGGCAGAUCAAGAACCAGAGAGCAGGACGUGUCUCAGGGCGGCACGUUGGUAAACCCUGGGCGCCUCGUUCAGCUCAGCUUUCUGAAGCCGGAAGGUUCUGCCAGAUGCCACCAGGCUUGACGUAAGUGAAAGUGCGCUUGCUGUCGGCCAUGGUCCAAGGAAGCGGAGAUGAGGACCAGCACUGCACCUGCGAGCGUGGGUGCUGGUGAGCUUGGCAUAAUGAUCCUGGAUUUGUACGGACCUAGUUACGUGACUCGAAAUAUACAGAAAGCUAAAAUUGACAGCAAUGCAGGAUUAAUUGAAAAACUCAUGUCACAGUGAAGGAUUUUAAUAUACCUCUCAGUAACCCUUAAAUCAAGGAGACAGAAAAAUCAAUGAACACAUAGAAGAUCUGAAGAACACAAUUAAACAAGUUCAUGUAAAUAUGAACUCAAUGCCCAUGAAUUAGAGAAUGUGUAUUUUUUAACACAAAUAAAGUAG
Molecule: long non-coding RNA, 560 nt
Filed under: Equus asinus (donkey)
Lineage: Eukaryota; Metazoa; Chordata; Mammalia; Perissodactyla; Equidae
Description: lncRNA (ENSEASG00005027022.1)
Source: RNAcentral